CAUUGCGGGUCCUUGAGGGUGGUAUCGAAGGGACUCACAUUCUCUUCGAAUUCGGGGCCGGGGUGCGGCGCCGAAGUCCGAAGCCUUCGCCGUGGUGG
RNAcentral lists this transfer RNA (98 nucleotides) under Usitatibacter rugosus. Its description in RNAcentral is "Nitrosomonadales bacterium 0125_3 tRNA-Val". Lineage: Bacteria; Pseudomonadati; Pseudomonadota; Betaproteobacteria; Nitrosomonadales; Usitatibacteraceae. The record is from RNAcentral.